AGAGUUUGAUCAUGGCUCAGGAUGAACGCUGGCGGCGUGCCUUAAGCAUGCAAGUCAAGGGGACCCCGCAAGGGGUUACCGGCGGACGGGUGAGUAAUACGUGGGAAUCUACCUUGAAGUGGGAUAUAGCUCGUCGAAAGACGGGGUAAUCUCCCAUGUGAUCGCAAGAUCAAAGCAGCAAUGCGCUUUAAGAUGAGCCUGCGUCCUAUCAGCUUGUUGGUGGGGUAAUGGCCUACCAAGGCGACGACGGGUAGCUGGUCUGAGAGGAUGGUCAGCCACAAUGGGACUGAGACACGGCCCAUACAUCUACGGAUGGCAGCAACUGGGAAUAUUCGGCAAUGGGCGAAAGCCUGACCGAGCGACGCCGCGUGGAGGAUGAAGGCCCUCGGGUUGUAAACUCCUUUUGCAUAGGAAGAUUAUGACGGUACUAUGCGAAUAAGCACCUGCUAACUACGUGCCAGAAGCCUCGGUAAUACGUAGGGUGCAAGCGUUAUCCGGAUUCAUUGGGCGUAAAGAGUUGCGUAGGCUGAUUUGUGCAUUUUGCUUGAAAGACAGCGGCUCAAUCGUUGUUUGUGGCAAAACAUGGCAAAUCUAGAAAGAUACAGAGGGUACUGGAACCGAUUAUGUAGCAGUGAAAUGCGUUGAUAUGAUCGGGAACACCAAAGGCGUAGGCAGGUACCUGGGUAUUUUUUGACGCUGAGGCACGAAAGCUUGGGGAGCGAAAAGGAUUAGAGACCCUUGUAGUCCAAGCUGUAAACUAUCCUUGCUAGAUGGAGUCGGUUUUCCCGGCUCUGUCGUAAGCUAACGCGUUAAGCAAGGCGCCUGGGGGAGUACGAACGCAAGUUUAAAACUCAAAGGAAUUGACGGGGAGGCGCACAGCAGUGGAGCGUGUGGUUCAAUUCGAUACGAAACGAAAAACCUCACCAGGGUUUGACAUGUACCUGCAAGCGCACGGAAACGUGUGACCUUCGAGGGUGGUACACAGAUGCUGCAUGGCUGUCGUCAGCUCGUGGCGUGAGCUGUUCCAUUAAGUUGGGAAACGAGCGCAACCCUCAUCGUAUGUUAAAUAAUUCAUGCGAAACAGCCCCGAUUCGUCGGGGAGGAAGGCGAGGAUGACGUCAAGUCAGCACGGUUCUUACACCCUGGGCUACAAACACACUACAAUGGCGAAUAACAACGAGUUGCAAGUACGCAAGUACAAGCUAAUCUCUAAAAUUUCGCCUCAGUUCAGAUUGGGGUCUGCAACUCGACCCCAUGAAGCCGGAAUUGCUAGUAAUCGCGGAUCAGCGUGCCGCGGUGAAUACGUUCUCGGGUCUUGUACACACCGCCCGUCAAGGCAGCAAAGUCAGGGGCGCCUGAAGUGCCAUUUAUGGUUCCAAGGCGAAACUGGCGAUGAAGCUUAAGUCGUAACAAGGUAACC
Molecule: ribosomal RNA, 1420 nt
Filed under: uncultured bacterium
Lineage: Bacteria
Description: bacterial SSU rRNA
Rfam family: Bacterial small subunit ribosomal RNA
Source: RNAcentral